Non-coding RNA from Vicia faba (fava bean), 426 nucleotides. Lineage: Eukaryota; Viridiplantae; Streptophyta; Magnoliopsida; Fabales; Fabaceae. The record is from the annotation of a GenBank genome assembly.
CUUGAAACAAAACCAAAAACGCAGCUUAUCCAUGAAAUCAGAGAAUUCCCAAUCUCCUUGAUCCUCUCUUCUACCUCACAAUCCUCCAUCGAGCUUCAUCUUCUCUCAACCAAGCGCUCAUACUCACUAUCUCCUCUCUCCGCCGGAAACACACAAAUACUCCCUCCUUCCACCAUUGACCCACACGCAAAUAACCCCUCUGUUCUCUUCCAACAGCCAAACACGAAUUCAUCUUCCAUCCGGCACAUCCCACCAUCACCCACUGUUUCCGCGACUGCUAACACCAAUAUCACCUCACUUGCUGACGCACGACCCAAUUCCUCACCUUCCGCUUCAGAUUUCCAUCACCGUUCAGCUUCCGUAACGCGUCGACAACAUCAUCAGCUUCAUCAUCAAUUCGACACAACAACAUUAUCCAUUCGGUUC